UUAGAGAUCAAAAGAUCAACGCACGAGCCCCUGCAAUAUUAAGGGGGCCCCCUUAUCUUCUGUAGUUCUUUUCUGUUGGAGCUUUUAGCCAAGUCAGAUUUAGUAAAUUCCCUCUCUCAGUAAUCUUUCGCGUGCACUUCGUUUCGUGUCCUAAUCGACUUAAAAAGUAAGUAAAAUACUCUAAAUAGCGUAUCCUUGUAUUUGUUGUUCAUGAAGGACAGUUGGUUGGCUUGUUAGCUUAUAAUAUUGAAGAAUAUUGCUCUUUGCCAUUUUGUGAUUUUUGUCCACGUGGGCAGUAUAUACUGUAUUUAUAAAGAAGGAACAUGAUAGAAUGCUUGUGAUACAUGUACCCAGAGUAAGGGGCUGUUUAUAUGGAAGCGAGCUAGCCCGGGUACCCGAGCUAACUCACUUCCCCAAGAUGAAUUUCACCAGGCAAAUAUACAUGAAACUUUUGGGGCGGGCCGGCGGGCUGACUUGUGAAAACAAAUACAAUUUUUUGUGGGAAAGUCAAUUUGGAUUUUGGGCAUGUGCACACAGACAUUAUUUUACUUAAAAGCCAAACCAGCUCGGGUAAAUGUGUUUAUAUGGAAAACUACCCAGCCCAUUUACCCAAGGUCUCUGGUCACACAAAGCGGGACGCCGGUAAGAAGGGCUGCUCGGUUCUCAUAUAAACACAAGAGCCCUUUGACCUUUGGAAUACUAGCCCAAUGCUCUGCCAACUGAGCUACGCGGUCAGGACGGUUCGAGUAGUUGGCAGAGCAUUGGGCUAGUAUUCCAAAGGUUGUAGGUUCGAUUCCCACCGUGGCCGGGCAUAUUUUUCAAGCUCGCCCGGUGUGGAUAUACACUCAGAGUAACAUCACAAACAUCACUGUAAAACAUGUUUGACUGUGAUAGGGUGUCAUACAUGCAAUAUAUAUUUUCUAUAUAAUUUAUCCCCCAGAUAGAUUGUCUAUUAAGAUAGAUAGAAUUUUACACAACCAUGUUUUGCUCUCAUAACAGUUACUGGAUGCUUGGCAACCUAUCUAUUACAUGUACAUUCCAUAUAGGGUUUAUUUAUGCUUAUAUUUGGUUCUCACAGUACAUUUUUGGCUUAUUGAGGUGGUAGGGUGUUUUUAAUACAUCCACUUUGAGCGUUGAAUUUAGUUUAAAUUUGUUUGACAUACUAUUCUUUGCAGAUGCGUUACGUGGCCGCAUACCUGUUAGCCAACCUUGGUGGUAAUGAUUCACCUUCAGUAAAAGACAUCAAGAAAAUCUUGGAAAGUGUGGGAGUCGAUGUUGAUGAUGAAAAGCUGAAAAAAGUUGUGUCAGAAUUAGAUGGAAAAGAUGUCAAUGAGGUAUUUAUCCUGCCUCCUAUUUCAAGCCCAUCUCUAAUUAGCCUCCCCUAGGCCUCCUACCCUUUUGAGAGGAAGAGUAUUACUCCAAGCCUUCUCUCCA
Paramuricea clavata is the source of this 1434-nucleotide non-coding RNA. The record is from the annotation of a GenBank genome assembly. NCBI's taxonomy places the organism in Eukaryota, Metazoa, Cnidaria, Anthozoa, Malacalcyonacea, Plexauridae.